This 253-nucleotide ribosomal RNA is filed under the name uncultured bacterium. RNAcentral's name for it is "partial 16S ribosomal RNA". It matches the Rfam family "Bacterial small subunit ribosomal RNA", at positions 524 to 776 of the family's 1533-position model. RNAcentral also lists the same sequence under 1 other name. The record is from RNAcentral.
UACGGAGGGGGUUAGCGUUGUUCGGAAUUACUGGGCGUAAAGCGCGCGUAGGCGGAUUGGAAAGUUGGGGGUGAAAUCCCGGGGCUCAACCCCGGAAUUGCCUUCAAAACUCCCAGUCUUGAGGUCGAGAGAGGUGAGUGGAAUUCCGAGUGUAGAGGUGAAAUUCGUAGAUAUUCGGAGGAACACCAGUGGCGAAGGCGGCUCACUGGCUCGAUACUGACGCUGAGGUGCGAAAGCGUGGGGAGCAAACAGG